GAAAGUAAGCAAGGGCAGACGGUGGAUGCCUUGGCUCUCGGAGGCGACGAAGGACGUGAUAAGCUGCGAAAAGCCCGGGGGAGGCGCAAAUAGCCCUUGAUCCCGGGAUAUCCGAAUGGGGCAACCCGGCAGGCUGAAGGCCUGUCAUCCCGAAAGGGAGGCGAACGUGGGGAACUGAAACAUCUAAGUACCCAUAGGAGGAGAAAAUAAACAAUGAUUCCGUAAGUAGUGGCGAGCGAACACGGAAGAGCCCAAACCCAUGUCGUCUAGGCGACACGGGGGUUGUAGGACCACGACGUGGCAAGAAGGAAGGGAAAUGGAACGACUUGGAAAAGUCGGCCAUAGACGGUGAAAGCCCGGUACAUGACUCCCUUACGAAGCCUAGUGGUAUCCUGAGUAGCGCGGGGCACGAGAAAUCUUGCGUGAAACAGCGGGGCCCAUCCCGUAAGGCUAAAUACUCCCGAGAGACCGAUAGCGAACCAGUACCGUGAGGGAAAGGUGAAAAGAACCCCGAGCAGGGGAGUGAAAUAGACCCUGAACCCGUCUGCCUACAAGCGGUCGGAGCGUCGUAAUGACGUGACGGCGUGCCUUUUGCAUAAUGAACCUACGAGUUACCUUCCCCGGCAAGGUUAAGUUCUUGAGGAACGGAGCCGAAGCGAAAGCGAGUCUGAACAGGGCGCCAAGUCGGGGGGGGUAGACGCGAAACCGAGUGAUCUACCCUUGGCCAGGUUGAAGGUUGGGUAACACCAACUGGAGGACCGGAUGGGUAAGCGUUGAAAAGCUUUCCAAUGAGCUGAGGGUAGGGGUGAAAGGCUAAUCAAACUCGGAGAUAGCUCGUACUCCCCGAAAUGCAUUUAGGUGCAGCCUCUUUAUAGUAUAUCGUGAGGUAGAGCGACUGAUUGGAUGCGAGGGCUUCACCGCCUAUCAAGUCCAGAUAAACUCCGAAUGCGCGAUAUAUAUUUACAGGGAGUGAGGGCGCGGGUGCUAAGGUCCGUGUCCGAGAGGAGAAGAAUCCAGACCACCGGCUAAGGCCCCCAAAUGAUCGUUAAGUUGAACUAACGAGGUCGGAUCGCAGAGACAGCUAGGAUGUUGGCUUGGAAGCAGCCAUUCAUUUAAAGAGUGCGUAACAGCUCACUAGUCGAGCGAUCUGGCGUGGAUAAUAAUCGGGCAUAAACGAUCUGCCGAAGCCGUGGAUGUCGCAAGACAUGGUAGGGGAGCAUUCCAUGCCGCGUCGAAGAUGAGGGAUGACCCUUGUUGGAGCGCAUGGAAAAGCAAAUGUAGGUAUGAGUAACGAUAAGGGGGGCGAGAAACCCCCCCGCCGAAAGACCAAGGUUUCCUGAUCAACGCUAAUCGGAUCAGGGUGAGUCGGGACCUAAGGCAAAGCCGAACGGCGCCGCCGAUGGAAGAAUGGGUUAAUAUUCCCAUACUGCCUCAUGGAGUGACGUGGAGACGGAGAAGUGACAGUCCUGCCGGCUGACGGAAUAGCCGGUUGAAGGGUGUAGAUAUUGAUUCCCGUAGGCAAAUCCGCGGGGAGAGUCGAACCUGAGAGUAUACGGAGCGCUUGCGCAACGUAAUAUGGACGUAACCAUGCUCCCGAGAAAAUCCGCUAAACUUAUCCAUGCGGCACCCGUACCGUAAACGGACACACGUGGUCGGGUUGAGAAUACUGAGGCGCUCGAGUGAUUCACGGUUAAGGAACUAGGCAAAUUGACCCUGUAACUUCGGGAUAAAGGGUCCUCGUCGUAAGGCGAGGCGCAGAGAAUAGGUCCAGGCAACUGUUUAACAAAAACACAUGGCUGUGCUAAAUGGAAACAUGAGGUAUACAGCCUGACACCUGCCCGGUGCCGGAAGGUUAAGAGGAGAUGUCAUCCGCGAGGAGAAGCGUUGAAUUGAAGCCCCGGUAAACGGCGGCCGUAACUAUAACGGUCCUAAGGUAGCGAAAUUCCUUGUCGGGU
This 1955-nucleotide ribosomal RNA is filed under the name human gut metagenome. Its description in RNAcentral is "bacterial LSU rRNA". It matches the Rfam family "Bacterial large subunit ribosomal RNA", at positions 1 to 1977 of the family's 2925-position model. The record is from RNAcentral.